UGCGAACUGUGCGAACGUUAUUCGGAAUCACUGGGCUUAAAGGGUGCGUAGGCGGCUGCCUAAGUCAGGUGUGAAAUCUCCCGGCUCAACCGGGAAACUGCGCUUGAUACUGGGCGGCUCGAGUGAGGUAGGGGUGUGUGGAACUUCCGGUGGAGCGGUGAAAUGUGUAGAUAUCGGAAGGAACGCCAGCAGCGAAAGCGGCACACUGGGCCUUUUCUGACCCUGAGGCACGAAAGCCAGGGGAGCGAACGGG
This 253-nucleotide ribosomal RNA is filed under the name uncultured bacterium. RNAcentral describes it as "partial 16S ribosomal RNA". It matches the Rfam family "Bacterial small subunit ribosomal RNA", at positions 524 to 776 of the family's 1533-position model. The record is from RNAcentral.